GUUUGCACUUAUCGGGGAAGGGUGAGAACCUUCGAUUAAGGUUCGACUCGAGCGAAAGCGAGAGAACGUUGCCAACGGCAACGGCCCGUAGGGUGAGGAGCGAAGCGACGAAUAAUCCUUCCCCCACCGCCA
Molecule: small RNA, 132 nt
Filed under: Salmonella enterica
Lineage: Bacteria; Pseudomonadati; Pseudomonadota; Gammaproteobacteria; Enterobacterales; Enterobacteriaceae
Also listed under: 1 other name
Description: RtT sRNA
Rfam family: RtT RNA
About the family: This family represents a bacterial cis-regulatory element known as RtT RNA. The exact function of RtT is unknown although it is thought that it may be involved in changing the cellular response in relation to amino acid starvation.
Source: RNAcentral